Molecule: non-coding RNA, 95 nt
Filed under: Oenococcus alcoholitolerans
Lineage: Bacteria; Bacillati; Bacillota; Bacilli; Lactobacillales; Lactobacillaceae
Description: Guanine sequence
Rfam family: Purine riboswitch aptamer
About the family: Riboswitches are metabolite binding domains within certain messenger RNAs that serve as precision sensors for their corresponding targets. Allosteric rearrangement of mRNA structure is mediated by ligand binding, and this results in modulation of gene expression. A class of riboswitches that selectively recognises guanine and becomes saturated at concentrations as low as 5 nM.
Source: RNAcentral
AAGAUAAAUAACAAUCAAGCAGGUAUAUCGUCAGAUAACGGCUGACAGUUUCUACCCAACACCUAUGUUGGACUAUCUGCGGAUCGCUUUUUUGG